UCAAAUUUUUCCUGUUACAGCAAAAGUUGUCUAGCGAAAAUUUAGCAGCAGCACAGUUUACCUGAAUUGUAUUCUUGUAAAGUUAAGUAAUGGAUGCAUAAUAUGCAAAAUAAUCAGAGUUCUCAUCUUCAGCUAGCGCAGUGAAGAUUUAUUGCACCUACGAGAUUUGGACUUAGUACUUUCUUCUCAAAGCAAAAAGGUAUGUAAAGUUUCAACAGGUUCAACAUGCAAAAUAAGUGCUCUGUGAACUCAUCUUUGAUCAUGUUGGAAAGACUGUGUGAUCGAAGCACUGAAUGAAAGACAAUAUUACUCAGCUCCCAAGCUGAGAGGAAUCAGAUCUGUGUCUUAAUUGUAUAAUGCUUCUGUCUGAGUACCCAUUGGAUGGAUGGACAGGUGGACUGUCUUCUGCUAGAAUUCCUCAUCAUCAUCUCCUUGCAUGCUUCCUUAAAAACCAAUAAAAUAACGCUGAUUUUUCACACUAAUUCAUUAUUAAUACUUGUUUCUCAUUGUGUGGAUGGCUAAUUGGCAGUAUCACAAUGCAGCCAUCACUACUCUGUGUUAUAAAUUUUACAGUUUCUAAGCCAAGUUUUGGGUCAACCUGCCAUUAGGUAAACAAUGUUCUGCUUAAAAACAUUUUUUUCUCUGCCCCAUACCUUUGUAUGUCUACAAUCCUACUGUUUGGCACAUACCUUUCAGCACAGCAAGAAGUAUAUAUGUGCUGGUAAAAUAAUAUGACAAUUUUGUGUCUGUGGACUCAGACUUCAGUCUGCUGAAAAACAGAACAUGAUAUGUUCAUAACUUGUUUCCUAUGUAUUGAAUUGAUCCAGCCUUUAACAGCCCUUUGGGAGAUAUAUAUGUGCCUCAGAAUUAAGUUAAUACAAAAUAGUAUGUAUAUAUAUACACACAAUUGCUGUCUGAAAAAAUUUCUCCAUUUACUUCCUUCCCAACCCUGCUGUGAGCCUCAUCUCCUGAAAAGUCUCCUUCCAGCUGAGAAAAGAUGGAGGUUCCUUCUCCUAUUGCCCAUAAACUUCAUGCUGAAUAAAAUAUGGAGGAGGAGGAGGUAGCUGAAGAGGAAUGUGAGGCCUGUUCACUCCUACAUACACAUCAGGAGCUGGGUGUGUUGCCACUGCAAUGCUUUCAGCUUCUGCCAUCCUGGGUAGUUCAGAAGUCCUGCUUUGCAGCACAAAUCCCUGGAUCAGAUUCUGAGAUGACUCAGAUAUGAAUUGGGAGAUUUCUCAGCCCUUAAUUAAGCCCUAAUCCUGCCCCAUAGAAGUCAAUGGGAGUUUUAGCAUUGGUGUCAAUGGGAGUAGGAUCAAGCACUUAAGUGACUGGAGAGUCCAAUCUUACAAACAGAGCCUUUCUUCCACUAUUUAUACCACACCUGGAGUGAUGCUGAUACGGUCCAGAGGGAGUCUCCCCCAGUUCUCUUUGACAAAAGGGUUGGUUGUCAUGAUUCAAGGCAUCAGGGGUUGGAAGAUAUGAAGCAUGAAAACAGAGAGAACACUGGGUCUCAAAAAAAUAAAAGGUUUCUGGGAAAUAUAUAGUAGGUAGAGAUGGCUGAAAUUUUUGACAGAAAAAUAGUCCCAUCAAAAACAGAAUUU
Chelonoidis abingdonii (Abingdon island giant tortoise) is the source of this 1601-nucleotide non-coding RNA. NCBI's taxonomy places the organism in Eukaryota, Metazoa, Chordata, Testudines, Testudinidae. The record is from RefSeq and is a predicted model, not a curated record.